Molecule: long non-coding RNA, 3061 nt
Organism: Oncorhynchus tshawytscha (Chinook salmon)
Lineage: Eukaryota; Metazoa; Chordata; Actinopteri; Salmoniformes; Salmonidae
Source: Ensembl
AGAGUUUCAUGUCCCAUUGAGAAGAGAAAGUUCAGGGGGCAGAGUUUAUCACAUAUUAGUGGCGGUGAGGUAAUAUCAUCUGGUUGGUGGUGAGGUAAUACCAUCUAUCAUCUAGUUGGCGGUGAGGUAAUACCAUCUAUCAUCUAGUUGGCGGUGAGGUAAUACCAUCUAUCAUCUAGUUGGCGGUGAGGUAAUACCAUCUAGUUGGCGGUGAGGUAAUACCAUCUAUCAUCUAGUUGGCGGUGAGGUAAUACCAUCUAUCAUCUAGUUGGCGGUGAGGUAAUGCCAUCUAUCAUCUAGUUGGCGGUGAGGUAAUGCCAUCUAUCAUCUAGUUGGCGGUGAGGUAAUAUCAUCUAUUUGAGGUAAGUUACUGCAACUCUGCCACGUUUGAAAGAAAUGGGAAUGAGAACUUGUAACGUUGCAUGGGUCAUUGUGAUAAGUACUUGGUAUCGUUGUGAUGAUGAUAAGUACUAGGUAUCGUUGUGAUGGGGAUAAGUACUAGGUAUCGUUGUGAUGGGGAUAAGUACUAGGAAUCGUUGUGAUGGGGAUAAGUACUAGGAAUCGUUGUGAUGGGGAUAAGUACUAGGAAUCGUUGUGAUGGGGAUAAGUACUAGGUAUCGUUGUGAUGGGGAUAAGUACUAGGUAUCGUUGUGAUGGGGAUAAGUACUAGGAAUCGUUGUGAUGGGGAUAAGUACUAGGAAUCGUUGUGAUGGGGAUAAGUACCAGGUAUCAUUGGUAUAGUGCUAUGUACUAGGUAUCAUGGUGAUGGGGAUAUGUACUAGGUAUUGAUGUGUAUUAUUCUAGAGAGUCUCUGGUCAGAGGUAGAGGCCACUCAUUUUGACACCUAGAGAGCCUCUGGUCAGAGGUAGAGGCCACUCGUUUUGACACCUAGAGAGCCUCUGACCAGAGGUAGAAGCCACUCGUUUUGACACCUAGAGAGCCUCUGGUCAGAGGUAGAAGCCACUCGUUUUGACACCUAGAGAGCCUCUGACCAGCGGUAGAAGCCACUCGUUUUGACACCUAGAGAGCCUCUGACCAGCGGUAGAGGCCACUCGUUUUGACAGGAGCCACAUAGAGAACCUCUAUAUCGGACAGCGUGUCAUUUGAAAUGAAAACGUAGAUCUAACGACAACCAGGGUUUGGCAAGGGAUACGUCUUUUAAUUUAGACCGUGACGAACCUAACCGCGGAAAUUCUAGUGAAGAGAUGUAUUUGCACACACACUUCAUGCAUACAACACCAGAAGACGGUACACUGUACACACGGACGAGUGUUACACAACAGGGAAAAACAACUUCCAUAAUCCAGUUUUUUUUAUUUGGAAUGAACUUGGGUUUUCUUUUUUUGUGUUCUAUUUCUACAGGUUUUGGUUUUCCGAUGCACUAUGUUUUUUAUUACGUCGUUUUGCCACUUCCUGUUAGGCACUUUUGAAGUUCUGCACUUCGAAAAACAUGUUUUAAUUCAAUAAUGCACCCAACCCCACCCCACAGUGCAAUGCUCCUAUUGAAAAGAUGAAUACUGGAGGUGGAAGGUAUGACGCAAAGGAUUGUUAAAGUGAAACAAGCAAAUUCACAGCAUCAUUUCAUACCUCUUUUUUUUUUUAAAUUUUUUUAGAGAAUAUCAGAGAGAAUGUGACAUUUCUGGGAUUUUUGUUUCUUGAGGAAGUUUACGGUGUAAUUCCUGAUAUUAAGGAAACCUAUUUUCUUCCUCUGACUGAAGAUUGUUUGAUGUUAUGCCCUUAAACACAGAUCUAGAAUCAGCUUACCUGCAAUCAUAACCUUGAAUAUCAAUUGGAUGGAUGGGGGAGGGGGGGUUCAGUUAUAGCUGAACUCAGAUCAGUGUCUAUGGGUUGAGUGGAGCUUAUGGAUCCCAAACGUCUGGUAGUGUGACCACUGACUGCAGUUGUGUGAGGGAAGAGACAUAUAUGUCCAAUGGUUAUAUUCUCAUCGGAGUCUGGUAGCAGCUUGUUCUGUGGAACCAUCCAUUUCCCCUUGUGGAGUUGAACCAACUGGGUUGAGCUAAACUACAUCGGAAUAGUAGGAUUUUUAGUUUGUUUGGUAGCGAAACAAAGUGAAUGUGGACGAUGGGUUUUAAAAUAUUAUUUUUUUACUUUUCUAAAAGUCUGAAGUGUCUUUUUUGGAAGGUUAUCUUUAUUUUUUAUUUAUUUUUAUUUUACCUUUAUUUAACUAGGCAAGUCAGUUAAGAACCAAUUCUUAUUUUCAAUGACGGCCUAGCAACAGUGGGUUAACUGCCUGUUCAAGGGCAGAACGACAGAUUUGUACCUUGUCAGCUCGGGGUUUGAACUUGCAACCUUCCGGUUACUAGUCCAACGCUCUAACCACUAGGCUACCCUGCCGCAGCAGCAGCAGGAUUUCCUCAUUUUGGGGGGGUGGCUGGCUUCUUCAUUUGCUAGCUGUGAGAGAACCCUUGUCAUUCCACCUGUUUAUAUAGCAAGUCAUUUCCUUAUGGUUCUAUUGUCCUACCUGGUGUGGUGUCUCGGUAGGUUGAGCCUGUGAGGUUGUGAGCCAUGACUUUAUGCAAUGUCUUACCAUAUUAUAUGUCCAACUGCAAUGAGGAUGAUUUAUGGUCUGCAAUGAGGAUGAUUUAUGGUCUGCAAUGAGGAUGAUUUAUGGUCUGCAAUGAGGAUGAUUUAUGGUCUGCAAUGAUGAGGAUGAUUUAUGGUCUGCAAUGAUGAGGAUGAUUUAUGGUCUGCAAUGAUGAGGAUGAUUCAUGGUCUGCAGUGAUGAGGAUGAUUUAUGGUCUGCAAUGAUGAGGAUGAUUCAUGGUCUGCAGUGAUGAGGAUGAUUUAUGGUCUGCAAUGAUGAGGAUGAUUUAUGGUCUGCAGUGAUGAGGAUGAUUUAUGGUCUGCAAUGAUGAGGAUGAUUUAUGGUCUGCAAUGAUGAGGAUGAUUUAUGGUCUGCAAUGAUGAGGAUGAUUUAUGGUCUGCAAUGAUGAGGAUGAUUUAUGGUCUGCAAUGAUGAGGAUGAUUCAUGGUCUGCAAUGAUGAGGAUGAUUCAUGGUCUGCAAUGAUGAGGAUGAUUCAUGGUCUGCAAUGAUGAGGA